RNAcentral lists this ribosomal RNA (497 nucleotides) under uncultured bacterium. RNAcentral's name for it is "partial 16S ribosomal RNA". It matches the Rfam family "Bacterial small subunit ribosomal RNA", at positions 28 to 507 of the family's 1533-position model. The record is from RNAcentral.
GAUGAACGCUGGCGGCGUGCCUAAUACAUGCAAGUCGAGCGAACAGACGAGGAGCUUGCUCCUGUGACGUUAGCGGCGGACGUGUGAGUAACACGUGGAUAACCGGCCUAUAAGACUGGGAUAACUACGGGAAACCGGAGCUAACACCGGAUAAUAUACUGAACCGCAUGGUUCAAUAGUGAAAGACGGUUUUGCUGUCACUUAUAGGUGGAUCCGCGCUGCAUUACCUAGUUGGUAGGGUAACUGCUUACCAAGCCAACGAGGCGUGGCCGACCUGUGUAGGAGAUCGGCCACACUAGGAUCUAGACACGGUCCAGACGCCUACGGGGUGCAGCGGUAGGGAAUUGUCGGCAUUGGGCGAAAUGCUGACGGAGCUCCGCCGGGUGCGUUGUGAAGUGCUUCGGCUGGUGAAUCUCUUUUGUUGGGGAAGAACGUUUGUGUAAGUAGCUAUGCAGGUCUUGACGGUACCUAAUCAAAAAGCCACGGCUAACUACGUG